GCGGAAGUGGCGAAAUUGGUAGACGCACCAGAUUUAGGUUCUGGCGCCGCAAGGUGUGAGAGUUCGAGCCUCUCCUUCCGCACCA
RNAcentral lists this transfer RNA (85 nucleotides) under Vibrio vulnificus. RNAcentral describes it as "tRNA-Leu". It matches the Rfam family "tRNA". Rfam says of the family: Transfer RNA (tRNA) molecules are approximately 80 nucleotides in length. Their secondary structure includes four short double-helical elements and three loops (D, anti-codon, and T loops). Further hydrogen bonds mediate the characteristic L-shaped molecular structure. tRNAs have two regions of fundamental functional importance: the anti-codon, which is responsible for specific mRNA codon recognition, and the 3' end, to which the tRNAs corresponding amino acid is attached (by aminoacyl-tRNA synthetases). tRNAs cope with the degeneracy of the genetic code in two manners: having more than one tRNA (with a specific anti-codon) for a particular amino acid; and 'wobble' base-pairing, i.e. permitting non-standard base-pairing at the 3rd anti-codon position. Lineage: Bacteria; Pseudomonadati; Pseudomonadota; Gammaproteobacteria; Vibrionales; Vibrionaceae. The record is from RNAcentral. RNAcentral also lists the same sequence under 1 other name.